AAAAACUUAGGUUAAUUAAACCAGGGGCCUUCAAAGCCCCCAAUAAGGACUUAGCCCCUUAGUUUUUG
RNAcentral lists this transfer RNA (68 nucleotides) under Anolis bitectus. RNAcentral describes it as "tRNA-Trp". Lineage: Eukaryota; Metazoa; Chordata; Lepidosauria; Squamata; Anolidae. The record is from RNAcentral.